UACGAAGGGGGCUAGCGUUGCUCGGAAUUACUGGGCGUAAAGGGAGCGUAGGCGGGUCUUUAAGUCAGGGGUGAAAUCCUGGAGCUCAACUCCAGAACUGCCUUUGAUACUGAAGAUCUUGAGUUCGGGAGAGGUGAGUGGAACUGCGAGUGUAGAGGUGAAAUUCGUAGAUAUUCGCAAGAACACCAGUGGCGAAGGCGGCUCACUGGCCCGAUACUGACGCUGAGGCACGAAAGCGUGGGGAGCAAACAGG
Molecule: ribosomal RNA, 253 nt
Filed under: uncultured bacterium
Lineage: Bacteria
Description: partial 16S ribosomal RNA
Rfam family: Bacterial small subunit ribosomal RNA
Source: RNAcentral